AAAAUUAAAGAACCUUAGUGAGCGCGCUCACAUACCCCACGUCCUCACAUUGUCAUUUGAGAAAUAAAAUAUGUGUAAGAAAAAAAAAUUGAAUCAUAAUUUCCUGUCAAUAUACACAUCUACAUAGUAUGUCCUUAUUAUCUACAAAGUUUCAUGAAAUUAUGUUGUGUGGUUUCAGAGGAGUUGCGAUGAAAAACUGUUGCAGAAGACAUUGAAGCAAAUAAGUUCAAAGGGGCGUAACUCCUAGAAAAAAUAUUGAAUCAUAAUUUCCUGUCGAUAUGCACAUCUACAUAGUAUGACCUUAUUAUCUACAAAGUUUCAUGAAAUUCUGUUGUGUGGUUUCAGAGGAGUUGUGAUGACAAACUGUUGCAGUAGUACAUUGAAGCAAAUAAGUUCAAAGGGGUGUAACUCCUAGAAAAAAAAUUGAACCGUAAUUUCCUGUCGAUAUGCACAUCUACAUAGUAUGUCCUUAUUAUCUAAAAAGGUUUCAUGAAAUUCUGUUGUGUGGUAUCAGAGGAGUUGUGAUGACAAACUGUUGCAGUAGUACAUUAAAGUAAAUAAGUUCAAAGGGGCGUAACUCCUAGAAAAAAAAUUGAACCAUAAUUUCCUGUCGAUAUGCACAUCUACAUAGUAUGUCCUUAUUAUCUAAAAAGGUUUCAUGAAAUUCUGUUGUGUGGUAUCAGAGGAGUUGCGAUGACAAACUGUUGCAGUAGUACAUUAAAGUAAAUAAGUUCAAAGGGGCGUAACUCCUAGAAAAAAAAUUGAAUC
This is a long non-coding RNA of Mytilus californianus (California mussel), 768 nucleotides long. RefSeq lists it as uncharacterized. Lineage: Eukaryota; Metazoa; Mollusca; Bivalvia; Mytilida; Mytilidae. The record is from RefSeq and is a predicted model, not a curated record. The transcript has 3 exons.